AAUCAUGAGUCGCGAACGGGUGACGUAACGCGUAGGGUAACCUGCCGUACUAAGCGGGGGAUAACUAUUGGAAACGAUAGCUAAUACCGCAUAAGAGUUUUUAACACAUGUUAGAAUUUAAAGGAGCAAAUGCUUCACUAGUAGAUGGACCUGCGUUGUAUUAGCUAGUUGGUAAGGUAACGGCUUACCAAGGCGACGAUACAUAGCCGACCUGAGAGGGUGAUCGGCCACACUGGGACUGAGACACGGCCCAGACUCCUACGGGAGGCAGCAGUAGGGAAUCUUCGGCAAUGGGGGGAACCCUGACCGAGCAACGCCGCGUGAAGUGAAGAAGGUUUUCGGAUCGUAAAGCUCUGUUGUUAAGAGAAGAACGUUGAGUAGAGUGGAAAGUUACUCAAGUGACGGUAUCUUACCAGAAAGGGACGGCUAACUACGUGCCAGCCGCCGC
Molecule: ribosomal RNA, 448 nt
Filed under: uncultured bacterium
Lineage: Bacteria
Description: bacterial SSU rRNA
Rfam family: Bacterial small subunit ribosomal RNA
Source: RNAcentral